CUUGCUGCAUGCUUAAUACAUGCAAGUCGAACGAAGGCCCUAGCUUGCUAGGUGUCCUUAGUGGCGCACGGGUGAGUAACACGUGGGAACUUACCUCAGAGUACGGAAUAACUAUGGGAAACUAUAGCUAAUACCGUAUAUUCCGGAAACGGGAAAGAUUUAUCGCUCUGAGAUAGGCCCGCGCAAGAUUAGCUUGUUGGUGAGGUAAUGGCUCACCAAGGCUCCGAUCUUUAGCUGGUUUGAGAGGAUGAUCAGCCACACUGGGACUGAGACACGGCCCAGACUCCUACGGGAGGCAGCAGUAGGGAAUAUUGGACAAUGGGGGAAACCCUGAUCCAGCAAUGCAGCGUGAGUGACGAAGGCCUUAGGGUUGUAAAACUCUUUCAUCUGUGAGGAUAAUGACAGUAGCAGAAUAAGAAGGACCGGCUAAUUCCGUGCCAGCAGCCGCGGUAAUACGGAAGGUCCUAGCGUUGUUCGGAAUUACUGGGCGUAAAGAGUAUGUAGGCGGAACAGAAAGUUAGAAGUGAAAUCCCUGGGCUCAACCUAGGAAUUGCUUUUAAAACUUCUGUUCUUGAAUUCAGGAGAGGAUAGUGGAAUUUCCAGUGUAGAGGUGAAAUUCGUAGAUAUUGGAAGGAACACCAGUGGCGAAGGCGGCUAUCUGGACUGACAUUGACGCUGAGAUACGAAGGCAUGGGUAGCAAACGGGAUUAGAUACCCCGGUAGUCCAUGCAGUAAACGAUGGAUGCUAGUCGUCGGACUUUUGUUCGGUGUCGUAGCUAACGCGUUAAGCAUCCCGCCUGGGGAGUACGGUCGCAAGAUUAAAACUC
Molecule: ribosomal RNA, 827 nt
Filed under: uncultured Alphaproteobacteria bacterium
Lineage: Bacteria; Pseudomonadati; Pseudomonadota; Alphaproteobacteria
Description: bacterial SSU rRNA
Rfam family: Bacterial small subunit ribosomal RNA
Source: RNAcentral